UGGGGAAUAUUGCACAAUGGGCGAAAGCCUGAUGCAGCAACGCCGCGUGAGCGAUGAAGGCCUUCGGGUCGUAAAGCUCUGUCCUAUGGGAAGAUAAUGACGGUACCAUAGGAGGAAGCCCCGGCUAACUACGUGCCAGCAGCCGCGGUAAUACGUAGGGGGCAAGCGUUAUCCGGAAUUACUGGGCGUAAAGGGUGCGUAGGCGGUUUAUCAAGUCAGGGGUGAAAGGCUACGGCUCAACCGUAGUGAGCCUCUGAAACUGGUGAACUUGAGUGUAGGAGAGGAGAGUGGAAUUCCUAGUGUAGCGGUGAAAUGCGUAGAUAUUAGGAGGAACACCAGUUGCGAAGGCGGCUCUCUGGACUGUAACUGACACUGAGGCACGAAAGCGUGGGGAGCAAACA
Molecule: ribosomal RNA, 401 nt
Filed under: uncultured prokaryote
Description: bacterial SSU rRNA
Rfam family: Bacterial small subunit ribosomal RNA
Source: RNAcentral